Molecule: ribosomal RNA, 481 nt
Filed under: uncultured bacterium
Lineage: Bacteria
Description: partial 16S ribosomal RNA
Rfam family: Bacterial small subunit ribosomal RNA
Source: RNAcentral
GAUGAACGCUGGCGGCGUGCUUAACACAUGCAAGUCGAACGAAGCACUUUAUUUGAUUUCCUUCGGGACUGAUUAUUUUGUGACUGAGUGGCGGACGGGUGAGUAACGCGUGGGUAACCUGCCUUGUACAGGGGGAUAACAGUUGGAAACGGCUGCUAAUACCGCAUAAGCGCACGGCAUCGCAUGAUGCAGUGUGAAAAACUCCGGUGGUAUAAGAUGGACCCGCGUUGGAUUAGCUAGUUGGUGAGGUAACGGCCCACCAAGGCGACGAUCCAUAGCCGACCUGAGAGGGUGACCGGCCACAUUGGGACUGAGACACGGCCCAAACUCCUACGCGAGGCAGCAGUGGGGAAUAUUGCACAAUGGGCGAAAGCCUGAUGCAGCGACGCCGCGUGAGCGAAGAAGUAUUUCGGUAUGUAAAGCUCUAUCAGCAGGGAAGAUAAUGACGGUACCUGACUAAGAAGCACCGGCUAAAUACGUG